RNAcentral lists this long non-coding RNA (1027 nucleotides) under Homo sapiens (human). RNAcentral's name for it is "HSALNT0362243". Lineage: Eukaryota; Metazoa; Chordata; Mammalia; Primates; Hominidae. The record is from RNAcentral.
CCCUCCCCCGCGGAGCCGCCGGCUCGGCCUACCAGCCCGGGGGCUCCGAGGCUCGCGCCGGAGGCGGGGCAUCGCCGCGCCGGCCGCCAACGGCCACUGCAACGGUCCCUACCGGGGAGGGCCGGCUUUUGCCGGCUUCCGGAGAAGGGAGGAAAGAGAGAGGUUUACCUAACACUGUAAAGAGAACGUUCAAUGAAAUACAAAGAAAAAGAUGAUUUUUUUGCUCCAAGAGAAUUAUUCCAGCCUUGGGGUGGAGUGGGUGUGGACAGUGAGCAGAAAAACAAGAAACCAAGUUCUGGGAGGAAAUAAAAUGAAUAUAAUCAGUGGAAAAUUCAGCAACGCAAUAUUGUGUGACAACAGUAAAUGACCAAUUUAUAAUUUAAAUUCUAUGAAAAAGAGAUUUAGAAGAGAGUUCUACCAAACCCACUGUUCCCUAGGGAAUAAAAUGAGUAACGCUGACUGGCAACAGUGCAUCCUGAGGGAGCCUGGAGAAACAACAGCAGCCUCCGACCUCAAGAUAUCCUGUGCUGUGACAGUGUCUUAAGUAGGGCAUGUUGAUAGAUGGAAAAGGACGGCAAACUCGAGGUGCUGAUUCAGGAAGAAGCAGAUUCCAAGAUGGAAGAGAAAAUAUCGAGAGAAAUAUGCCGAGAGAAGAAUCCAGGCAGAAUGGAAUCCAGGCAGAAUGGUGAAUGGAAGGUUCGGGUGACCAAGAGAAAGGAAGGGUGACUCAGCAAGUCUGUAGUUUCAGCUCUUGUAUAGUACGUUAUACUUGAAAAGCUGAAGCCUUUUCUCGGGGAAGAGUCAGAACGGCCUGGAGGGCUUGCUAAAGCGCUGCUGGCUGGGCCCCGCCCGCUGAAUGACUAAUGGAGACUCUGAGGGCCGGCUGGUAAUUUGAGUUUCUAACAAGCCCUGUUUCGAUGCUGGUACAGCCGAUCUAGGGAAAAUAUUGGAACAAGGAAAAAACUAAGAAGAAAUUUUAAAAAGUAAUCAAAGGCGGCCAAGUGAGGUGGCUCACGCCUGUGAUCCU